UGUCAGCUGUGUUGCCUAGCCAAACUUGGAAAAUCAAAUUAGCAUUUCCUGGCUGGUAAUGUACUUUUUGCCCAGUGGGUUGUUAAGAGCAUUAUAAGUAAAAAUCCAUAAACGUUAACAGCAAUGUUUAAACUUUAUUGGGGAGCAGGGGAUGGCAAAAAUCAAUGUAAGAUACUAGUUUUCAAGUUUAGGCUAUGUUAUAUUUGAUUACUGGGAUAUCAGUACAAUGAAAAUGGAGGAAUUUCAACAGUAAUUUUGAAGAAGUUUCAGUACACCGUGUUGUGCAGGGCUUUAUAAAAGAUUUUUGUUUCCAAAGAUGUUAUUGGGGUCCACAUAUUCUUUAACAGAUCUCAGCAUUCCCAGGCCAACAUCAGAGAUACUCUCCUUCAUCCAGCGCUUCCGCAAUUUCCCUACUCCAUGGUGAUGUGACAGACUUCCUCCAUUGGCAAGUAUUUCUUCUCUAGCAGCCCUCUCAAUUUCUUCAUAGACAUGAAUAGGAUCACUAAUCCCUCUGUAGUUAAAGGCAAAGUAGAAAUAGACACAUGCACCUGCA
RNAcentral lists this long non-coding RNA (553 nucleotides) under Gallus gallus (chicken). Lineage: Eukaryota; Metazoa; Chordata; Aves; Galliformes; Phasianidae. The record is from RNAcentral.